GUGCGGACAUGGCGCGGGUGCUCAUCGUGGGCGCCGGGCUGACGGGCAGCCUGUGCGCGGCGCUGCUGAGGAAAGAGACGCCCCGGCCUGUGCACCUCACGGUGUGGGAAGAGGCCGGGGACUCAGAAUCCCUGUUUUCUCAUGAAACCUGAGUGCAAGAGUGAAAGCAUUCCUUGACUGAUGCAUCCUGACAUGUCAUUCGUUGUGUCGUUUUAUUUGAUCCAUUCAUCCGUUCUUUAAUGAAACAUGGGAGUCCGUGCUCCCGGCGCCGAGCUGAACAACGCUUGCCGCCCCAUUCUUGUGCCCUCUUUGAGAAAGGGCCUCACGGUGACCAAAUUGCCUCUGGACUGCUUCCUGACCAUGGGGGGAGAAUGGCUACGGCCCGGAGUCCUUGCAAUCCACAGAGCACCGUUGACUUGGGAGCCCAGUACAUCACCCGCACUCCCCAUUAUGCUAAAAAACACCAAAGUUUUUAUGAUGAACUGUUAGCUCACGGCAUUUUGAAACCUCUGACCUCUCCAAUUGAAGGGAUGGUAAUGAAAGAAGGAGACUGUAACUUUGUGGCACCUCAAGGACUUUCUUCAAUCGUUAAGCAUUACCUGGAAGAAUCAGGUGCCGAGGUCUCCUUCCGACACCGUGUGACCCAGAUCAACCUGAGAAAUGGCAAGUGGGAAGUGUCCAAGGAAACAGGUUCCCCCGAGCGGUUUGACAUCGUUGUCCUCACGAUGCCGGUUCCACAGAUUCUGCAGCUCCGAGGUGACAUCGCAAACUUAAUUAGUGAAUGCCAAAGGCAGCAACUGGAGUCUGUGCGCUACUCUUCUCGCUACGCUCUGGGCCUCUUUUAUGAAGCUGGCACGAAGAUUGAUGUCCCUUGGGCUGGACAGUACAUCACCAGUAAUCCCUGCACACGCUUCAUCUCCAUCGAUAAUAAGAAACGCAAUAUAGAGUCAUCAGAAGUGGGACCUUCCCUGGUGGUUCACACCACUGUCCCAUUUGCAGUCUCAUACCUGGAGCACAGCACUGAGGACGUGCGGGAGCUAAUCUACCAGCAGCUGGAAAGCGUUUUGCCAGGUCUGCCUCAACCAGUUGUCACCAAAUGCCAGAAAUGGAGAUAUUCCCAGGACUCAAAGAAUGUGUCCACUGAGUAAAGAAAGCAACACAUCAUCUACCACUGUGUCCUUAUGUGACAGAAUUGACCAAUCAAAUGUGAACGUUAGCUUGGAACCACAUCAUGGAAAACACCGAGGACCAUGAUGACAAAUUUGGAAUGUGUUAAGUAGAAGAUGAAGACCCUUUGGCAGGUGCAUUUGGCUGCGAAAGAAAGAAAGAAAGAAAGAAAGAAAGAAAGAAAGAAAGAAAGAAGAAAGAAAGGGGAGGGAUCUGUCUCUGUUCUCCAGCAUGAUUACUCAAACCAGGCUUUAAGAAAAGAUACAGAGUGACAAUCCCAUUCCACUGUCUUCCCAAAACACUCGCUGAAAAACACCCAAGACACCGGAGAGAUCAGAAAACAGAACAUACACUCAAAGACCUGAAUGAACGUUCAAGGAAAUAAAAUACUACUUCUUUCCAGCUGAUUCAUCUCCGGAUUGCCUCUCGUUGGAUCAUCUUGGUUGCUACUUACCCAUUCCUGACCUAUCCCUGCUGUCAGGAAGAUAAGAUAUCAUGAUUAGUCAAGUCCGGGCGUCAUGCUUACCACGGGUCCAGGGAACAGGGCCAAACAUAACUUGCUAUUGUUGGAUAGCAUUGAAAGACAAAACAAGAGAUGUUCACUACGGCGUUAAUGCACCUGGACAUUUUAUAGACCAAGUUGACAUCAGUGAAAUAUAGCUUAUUGGAAUUACGAAAAACAUGGUAGGAAGAAGGGCUGAGGUAAGAUCACUCGAGACUUUUGAACAGGGCAAUGCUGUUUGAGUUCACACGACACUCUAAUCUCAAAUAUCCAACUCAAAAUGCUUUUUCAUGAAGAAGAAAGUUUCUUCAAUGCAUGGAGGUUAUGUGUUUACAGGAAGGCCAUGUGUUUAGAGUAUUCAUAUACAAACAGGCAAGGUUUUCUAAAUAUCCAGGAAGUUAUGCAAAAAUAUAAAAGAAGGCUUGAUCUUUCUGGUAAAUUAAUUCUGUUAGAGUAAGUUCACACAUUAGCUGGCAUGAAGAUAAGAUGAAUCUAAGUAAAGAGAGGCCUCGCAUUUCUUUUACUAAUUCAUCCAUUCAUUUAUUAUAUUCCUCCUCCUCCAUGCAAGCCAUUCAAGCCAUCAUGGCUUGGAAUCCAAAGAGAAGUAUGGGUUUGGCCCCUUGCAUUCAAGUAUUACUAUGGAAUAACAGAAAAGUAAUAGGUACAUCGUCACAGAAUUCCAAAUCCGCAUCAAGUAGUGAGCUAAGCAACAUACAUAUUCUGCAAGGUGAAUAUUGUUGUCUCUUAUUGAACUGAGGUUCAAAGACUUAAAGAAAAUACCUCCAAGAAACACAACUAGUAGAUAUCAGGGACGUAGAAUUCAAAGCCUGUCUGUGUGUCUUUCACGCUACUGGACUGCCUUCCACAUCGGUACUUGCUAAUUGUAUUGUUUCUAAAGUCAGUGACUAGAAUCCCAAUUUAAAAAAAGAGAGAGAAAGAGACAGAGAGAGAGAGAGAUUCAAUGCUGAUGAAGUUAUUUGUCAGGGAUGAGUUUCUGAUUUGCAAAAAGAAGUAACUGUUCUAUAUUUUGGGAACUUAAAAAUCACACACACGGGCGCCUGGGUGGCUCAGUCAGUAAAGCAUCCGACUUGGGCUCAUGCCAUGAUCUCGCGGUUCGUG
Felis catus (domestic cat) is the source of this 2788-nucleotide RNA transcript. It is a transcript of the gene named renalase, FAD dependent amine oxidase, with no coding region annotated. The transcript has 9 exons. The record is from RefSeq and is a predicted model, not a curated record. Lineage: Eukaryota; Metazoa; Chordata; Mammalia; Carnivora; Felidae.